UACGGAGGAUGCGAGCGUUAUCCGGAUUUAUUGGGUUUAAAGGGUGCGUAGGCGGCUUUUUAAGUCAGCGGUGAAAUUUUGCAGCUUAACUGUAACAGUGCCGUUGAUACUGGGGAGCUAGGAUUUGGUUGCUGUGGGUGGAAUGUGUGGUGUAGCGGUGAAAUGCUUAGAGAACACACAGAAUAUCGAUUGCGAAGGCAGCUCACAAAGCCAAGAUUGACGCUGAGGCACGAAAGCGUGGGGAUCAAACAGGAUUAGA
Molecule: ribosomal RNA, 259 nt
Filed under: uncultured prokaryote
Description: partial 16S ribosomal RNA
Rfam family: Bacterial small subunit ribosomal RNA
Source: RNAcentral